This 336-nucleotide long non-coding RNA is filed under the name Elaeis guineensis (African oil palm). RNAcentral describes it as "long non-coding RNA (EGUI_LNC054639)". The record is from RNAcentral. Lineage: Eukaryota; Viridiplantae; Streptophyta; Magnoliopsida; Arecales; Arecaceae.
GGGCCCUCUUAUUUGUUGGUUUCCACCUGCUGGUAGUAGCACAUAACAAAGGAGAAAGUCUAGAGAAGAGAAGAAGAAGAAGAUCAAGAAAAGAGAUCAAGUGUUGAUCGCGAUCCAGGCUUCGUUCAGAUUCAGCAGGCUGAAUUUUCUUAGAAAAAAAAAUUUAAUUUCUAGAGGGCUAUUCUAAACUGAUCCCAAGUGGAUAUCCAUAAAGAUCGGAUACUUGUAUGGCUAGAAAUUUUUUUUUCUCUUUUAGAUCCAGAUUCAAAGAAAAAGAUUAUGAAAUAGGUAUGUGAAUUAAUCACAAUCUGAAUUUCAGCAUAUGUUAAUUUCAGC